Molecule: long non-coding RNA, 497 nt
Filed under: Capra hircus (goat)
Lineage: Eukaryota; Metazoa; Chordata; Mammalia; Artiodactyla; Bovidae
Description: lncRNA (ENSCHIG00000000991.1)
Source: RNAcentral
UGAGCUGUGAGGCGUCGGGGAAAGGCAGAACAGGCAAAGACCUCAGAGUUCAAGACUUCCAAAACCUUACAAUGCUGCCACCUACAGGCCAAAACUUUCAAGGCGGAUUCUAUCGAUACUGUUUUCUGACCCUUAACAAUGAAAAACAUGCAAAAUGGUGAUGGAAGACCACAGCCCCACACUCAGAAUCCCACAAAGAGUUAAAUUGCCAGGCUAUCCAGUCUGCUUACCUGUAUGUCAAGAAAAACUCUGCUAAGAACUUGAUGAGGGAAGAAAACUUCUGGAGGAGUCUACUUUUAUAAUAUGAUGAAAGUGAAGCUUUGAAAGAAAAAUAAAACACCUUUUCCAUGUCACCAUGAGCUAAGCACUGGGUAUUCAAAGACAGAUGGAAGGCAGCCUAUUUUCUAAAGAAACCAACACUUUCCUAAAGAAACUAUUAAAACUUUCUAUCAUUGUAUAAACCAAGGGGGUGUCAAAUAAAUCAAAUAAAAUUUGAU